AACGAACGCUGGCGGCAGGCCUAACACAUGCAAGUCGAACGGAACCUUCGGGUUUAGUGGCGCACGGGUGAGGAACACGUGGGAAUGUACCCUUGAGUAAGGAAUAAUAUCUGGAAACGGAUACUAAUACCUUAUAAUGACUUCGGUCCAAAGAUUUAUCGCUCAAGGAUCAGCCCGCGUAUGAUUAGAUUGUUGGUGAGGUAAUGGCUCACCAAGUCUACGAUCAUUAGGGGGUCUGAGAGGACGAUCCCCCACACUGGUACUGAGACACGGACCAGACUCCUACGGGAGGCAGCAGUGAGGAAUAUUGGACAAUGGGCGAAAGCCUGAUCCAGCCAUGCCGCGUGUAUGAAGAAGGCCUUAGGGUUGUAAAGUACUUUCAAUAGUGAAGAUUAUGACGGUAACUAUAGAAGAAGCCCCGGCUAAAUUCG
This 431-nucleotide ribosomal RNA is filed under the name uncultured Alphaproteobacteria bacterium. RNAcentral's name for it is "bacterial SSU rRNA". It matches the Rfam family "Bacterial small subunit ribosomal RNA", at positions 29 to 505 of the family's 1533-position model. The record is from RNAcentral. Lineage: Bacteria; Pseudomonadati; Pseudomonadota; Alphaproteobacteria.